AGGAGAGUUUGAUCCUGGCUCAGGACGAACGCUGGCGGCGUGCUUAACACAUGCAAGUCGAACGAGACGAUUUUAAGCUUGCUUAGAUGAGUCGAGUGGCAAACGGGUGAGUAACGCGUAGACAACCUGCCGCAAAGAUGGGGACAACAGUCCGAAAGGACUGCUAAUACCGAAUGUUGUGCAACCUCCGCAUGGAGGAUGCAUUAAAGAUGGCCUCUACUUGUAAGCUAUCGCUUUGCGAUGGGUCUGCGUCUGAUUAGCUAGUUGGUGGGGUAACGGCCUACCAAGGCGACGAUCAGUAGCCGGUCUGAGAGGAUGAACGGCCACAUUGGAACUGAGACACGGUCCAGACUCCUACGGGAGGCAGCAGUGGGGAAUCUUCCGCAAUGGGCGAAAGCCUGACGGAGCAACGCCGCGUGAGUGAAGAAGGUCUUCGGAUCGUAAAGCUCUGUUGUCGGGGACGAAUGUACCUUUUGUGAAUAAUGAGAGGUAAUGACGGUACCUGACGAGGAAGCCACGGCUAACUACGUGCCAGCAGCCGCGGUAAUACGUAGGUGGCGAGCGUUGUCCGGAAUUAUUGGGCGUAAAGGGAGCGCAGGCGGGAAGGCAAGUCAGUCUUAAAAGUGCGGGGCUCAACCCCGUGAUGGGAUUGAAACUGUCUUUCUUGAGUGCAGGAGAGGAAAGCGGAAUUCCUAGUGUAGCGGUGAAAUGCGUAGAUAUUAGGAGGAACACCAGUGGCGAAGGCGGCUUUCUGGACUGUAACUGACGCUGAGGCUCGAAAGCGUGGGGAGCGAACAGGAUUAGAUACCCUGGUAGUCCCCU
This 822-nucleotide ribosomal RNA is filed under the name uncultured Bacillota bacterium. RNAcentral describes it as "bacterial SSU rRNA". It matches the Rfam family "Bacterial small subunit ribosomal RNA", at positions 1 to 799 of the family's 1533-position model. Lineage: Bacteria; Bacillati; Bacillota. The record is from RNAcentral.